Molecule: long non-coding RNA, 6125 nt
Filed under: Triticum aestivum (bread wheat)
Lineage: Eukaryota; Viridiplantae; Streptophyta; Magnoliopsida; Poales; Poaceae
Description: long non-coding RNA (TAES_LNC002740)
Source: RNAcentral
AGCCAGGCAUCAGUCCGGGAACCUCAGAUCGCCUCCCUGAUGACAAGGUUGAUGCCGAACGACGCCGUGCAGAUGAUCAGCCCCAUUAUCGCCGGGAAGUUGAGCCCCCUGCAGAGUUCACCAAAGCGAAAAGGAAAUCGACGAGAUCAGAACCGCCUCGACGACAAAUGAGAACUGACUGGACAAAAAAAAGGGAAUGAAAUCCUUCUAGCAGUUGCCGUUUGGUGUCAUUGACGCGUUGUUCGGCAUCAUAAGCUGCAAAUUUGGUUCAAGUCAAACAUUUCUCACACUCAAUUCAGAGCUCACGACUUUGCUCCUAGUAGUUACCAUGUACUCUAUAAAACCGGAGUGGUUGACAUAGGACAGAAGCUUAGGUAGGAUUGCAACACCACAUCCAAUUAUCAUGGUCUGUAAAAUUCCCAGGACCGAGAAAUUUCCUAAGAAACUAGUAGCUAAACAUGCUGGAAAUCAAGUGAAUUUCUUUUGCCCCACGUCCACACAAUGAUUUGAAUUGGACGCCAUCAUCAUCUGAAUCAUCGCUGAGCGGAAAGCAAACACACAUACCCAAGCUUGUAGCGGUUCUCCGGGACGCCGGUGGCGUAGCCCUUGAAGUAGAAGAACCUGGCGACGGUGUAGAGCAGCCCCAGCGCGGCGGCGGCGACCGGGUGCUGCAGGCCGCCGAGCAGCAGCGUGGCGAAGAAGAGCGGCAUCAUCUCAAUCGAGUUCUGGUGCCCCCUCUGCAACCCCCACAGCACAAAUCCACAAGAAUUCAGCCAAGUCUCGCUCGAAAUCGAUCAGCGGACGGAGAGGGCGGGCGAUGGGGAAUCUGGCGGUGGCGGACGGACCUGGACGCAGUUGAAGCGCUUGGCGUCCUUGUUCUCCGACUCGGUGGCGUACAUGGUGGGGUAGAACACCUUGUACCUGGAAGAAGGAGCAGCGGCGCAGGAUCGUCAAGCUCCAAGAUCAGUUUCUCCGGAACAAAAAUGGGCAAGAAACACCUACUUCUUGCGGGCGGCGCCGACCUGGAAGCUCAUCCAGAAGUUGAGGAAGGCGUAGGCCACCACGACGAGCACCACGUAGCCGUACUCCUUGGGCAGCUCCACCGACACCGCCAUCGUCGUCUACCUUGGUCUCUCCUCUUGGUUUGCCUUGGAAGCUGAGAUUGGAUGAUGGGGGGAAUGGAGAGGAGGUCUAUCUUAUAGGAGGAGAGUGGAGAGAGACCGGAGGUGUCUAAGAGAAAGUCCUCCUGCCCUGCGGCGGCCCAAGAAUGCUUUGACCGAUUCCCUCCCUCGAGCCCAUCUUGGCAACCCCACCUUUGUUCUUCUCGCUCUGUCCCUACUUUUCAACGAGGCAUUGGAUUUAAUGUUGAUACCAAUUUCAAAAAAAUAGUGAUUUUAGUGAGAUCGCCACUGUUCAUUCCAUUGGAAAUUUAUCAUCCAUCCCAACCUCUUGAUAAAAACAUUUGCUAUUCCUGUCAUGCAGUUAAACAAACUCAAAUUCAACUAUGUAUCUUCCCGUCCCUACAUUUUUAUGGUCUUGCUUGCAAACUUCAAAGAGGCCCACGGCCCUCUUAUUUCCUCUCCUAACUCUAGGCGGCUAGCGCAAACUCCCUUCUGUCUGCUGCUCUGGCGGCCGAUGGCGGAGAGCAGAAUUCAUGUGCCUUCACUCUGGUUAACAGUUUAUUAGGGUUUUUUAGUCCUUGCAGGCGCGAUGCUUGGAUGGAUGUGUCUCUUCUUCUUCUUCGAGUUCAUCUGUCUGGACGUAAUCAACGGAGCUCUGGCAUAGAGUCCUACCAUCUCCUUGGGGACGGUGAAGUUAGAGUGUAUCGUCAUGUGACCAGAUUUGGAGUCAGGUGUUUCAGGUCUAUGCAAGGGUUCAACGACGACAAUUGUGGCUCUAGUGCGCUGUUCCUUAGGGUAGGUGCAUGAAGACUUUCCAGCUAUAAUUGACAAGGUCAAGCUGGCUCGGGUAAGGGAGUGGCGACAACGGCGUGUUAGUGGCUUGUUCUGACUACAAUAAUGGUCGUUCGGUGAUCUCAGAAUCUCAAUGUAGUUUUUAUUAUGUUUGAGAUUUUUUGUACUUCUGAUGAAUCUUAUGAUAGAUCUGAUAGUUUCUUGCAAAAAAAAAAAACUUCAAAGAGGCCCUUAGUGAGAUCCAUAGUGAUGUUUGAAGACGAUGGAAAAGCUGGAAUGGACAAGGUCAUUUCGACAUGGGGAGCUACAUUCUGCUCCAGUCAACCGGAGGCCUGCGUCACGCGUGACGUCUGCCUAAACGUUGCCGUAAGAAUCGUCCCAGGAGUGAUUGUUUAGUCCUCCUGUCUAAUUUCCUUUGUUUCUCAGAUGCGGGGCAGGUGGUCGUGGUUAAGAGCACGCAUCGUGCCAAACGAGGCAUCAAUGGGAGUUGGAAAUGACUUUUAGUUAGUUAUCUUUUCUAUUGCAAACUCUGUCUUCGGGCUUCAACGCUGAUCUGUGCUUCGACACCCGUUCAUGGACGGGGAAGACCAGUCCACAAAAUUGAUAUGAAAACCGGUCAUCCAACGCUACAUGUAUACAUUUCAAGCCGGGUUCAACAAACCAGACAAAUUUCAUGCAAAUUCUAUGAAUUUCAUUAAAGUUCCGAUAUAAUUUACAUAAAACAGAUGGUAUUUCGACCGUUUUAUUAAAAACUCUCUGUAAAAAAAAAUCCUGUACCGGAUGACCACCUUAUACGUGUGUCCGCUCUAUCCUGCCGCACCGUUGUUGGCAUUCGUGUCGUCGUCCCUCAAGGGGUGCAAGGCUGCUGGAGGGCCGUGACAAACCUUGUCCGGCAGCACCAGGCCGGACGAGAUUCACCAAGAAUGAAGCCGACGUGUUGCCGUACGAAGGGGCGCGCAAGCAUGUGGUAAGCAGAAGGGCAACCCCAUCCCAGAGAGGAGGUUCACUACUGCUAGCGGAGAAAAGGCAAUAGCUAUACACCAUUGAUGCUUUUUCUUGUAUCAUAUAUGAUACCGUAUUGCAUAUAUUUGAGCUGAGUGAUUUUGGCAAAUUACUUUCCUUUUUGGAAUUUAGAAACUAUGUUGACAGCCUCAUGUAUACACACUUCUGACGUGUGAGAUAAUCUAAGUAGUUAAAAGCAGUUGUUUUUUUUAGAGAAAAGACUAAGCCGCGCCUGAGGAAGGCCCGAACCUAGUCCGAUUUUGAAUUACAAACCCAUCAACCGGCCAGGAUUACAAGGGCAGUUACCAUACAGCAGGAAAAAGAAAACGGCGCAAGAUACAAGGUGCUGGAGCAGCUUACAACCAGAGAACAAAGCAAGCAACACAAGAAAGUUGAAGAAGGAGUCGCCAACAUUGGAAGGCAGCCUCAAAGCCCACUUCACAGGACCGAAACACGGUCGCCCUGCCAUCCGUCUGCCUCCGAAGAGGGCCACUACCCUCUCGCCCUGGCUCGAGGGGCGCCGGACCAUCGGAAGGCAAAGCGCUCACCAUGAGCUCGGAUGAACAACGACGACAGAGUUGGCACGGGAAGGAGAUCGGAGCGCAGCGGGCAUAAGCAUAGCCUUCCACAACCUCUCGGACCGCCACAGCCAGGCUGCACAAGCGCAAGCAGAAACGCGGCACUGUACGACGAAGACCGGCGUAGAAGAACAUAUCGUGGGCGAAGACGAAGAAGAGCAUGAACGCCAUCAGCUAUCCCAAUCCCAGCAGCCGAGUGCCAACGUCACACCUGCGUCCCCCAGACGACGCCUCCAAGAAGGGUAGCAACAAGCAGUGACGCCGCCGUCCACCAAGGGGACAAGGUUUUCACCCAAAGCAGAGUGCGAGGGUAGGAGGUAGAAGGGGACCUCAACGAAGCUUCGAAGGAGGGAACCGGUGCCAAAGGCGUCGCCAACGUCGUGUCCUCCACCGCAAGCCAAGGGUUUCCCCCGGCCGCCCUCCGCAACGCCAUAUCCCUAGGUCGAAGAGGUCGACAUGACCGGAGCCGACCAGGAGUGCACAGACCCGGGAAGGGACAACGGUCAUCGACGCACCGGUGCACAAGGCCGCGGAGAGCCAAGCACACCACGGCGCACGGACACCACAUCCUUGCCGCCCGCGCGGCCAAGGUCACAGUACAGCACCACCGACGCCACUCGCCGCAAAGCCGACGCCGUCCACCAAGUCUGGGGCCGCCGCCCCGGCAUCCACCCACCAUGCACAUCCCAUCCAAGCUAGUCACUACGCCCACCAUCACCACCAGGAGCACUACCACAGCCACCUCUGAGCACCAUGAAGAAACAGGAGGCGCCUGCAACCGCCGCCCCACCCAGAUCCGGCCGGAAAAUUGGUCAACACCUGCUGGGGCGCCAGAUCCGGCGACACAGGGCGGAUGCGACGGCCUGAGCAGGAGCAGGGCCACAACCCUGUCCCGGCGCUAGUUGGCCGGAUCGAAAGGCCCGCCGCCACCGAGGCCCCCACCAACUCCAGAUCUGGCGGGUGGAGCAGCAGCAGGAGCCAAAUCGCAGAAAAGACGGACCCAGGCCAACACCGGUGGCCACAGCAGGCACCGCGGUGGGCCAGCAGCAAGGGAGGGCGUCGCCGCCGGGAAGGUGUCGGGGGAGGACCGGAAGCAACGACCAUGGGGGCGGGGCGACGGGGAGGACCAGUAGAUGGCGUGCGGGGAAGCCCCGCCGCCGCCUACCACCGCGCGGGCCAAGCCCGGCGGCAGUCGCCAGCGGCAGCGGGGGAAAGAGGACAGGAGGUAGGGGACCGAGGCGGCGCGAGGGCUCCGCCCCCGAGUCGCCCGCUCGGGCGACGCGGGGGAAGCGGGAUGAGAAGCCGUUUCUUUUCUUCUUGCGCCAAGCAGUUGUUUCUUGGCGAGGUAUACUUUUUUGUGCACACCAACGGUGAGCAUGCCUGUACUUCUCUUGUGAACUGACACACACUGGAGGCUUAAAAUUGUAUCAAAAACAAAUGCAUACAACCCGGACUGGACCUAGCAUUAUGGAGACCCUAGUGUGAUUAAGGCGCAAUAAACAUUAACAAAGUAGUAUCAUAUAUACUUGUAACAAUAAAUAUGUAUAUCAAGAACAAUAUAAAGGCAUAAACUUAAAAAUAAUAAUUUUAGUUCGCAAAUAAACUCUGAAUACAUCAUCUAUAUGUGAUUAUAUGAUGUAAAUAAUGAUUAUAAUAUACUCAACUAUAAAUAAUUAUUAAAUAAAUACAACCUGAUGAAGUGAGCUGAGGAAGGGGGCAUAUGCCCCUUGUUGAUUUUUUGUUCCGCAAAUAAUAUUUUCUGUAAUUUAUUUAAGAAUGUAGAUAUAUUGGGCCCUUAUUUAAGAUGGGCCCUAGGCCGCCGCACCUUCUACCAUGGCCUAGGGCCGGUCCUGCAUACAACAUCAACGUCAAAACUGACCGGAGAUAACAACGAGCAUAACAUGGUCCUCAGAUGUCGCACAAGGAAACUGGCAAGGAGAUUUAUGGAACCGUACUGCAAAACCUAAAACCUCGAUGUUACAAACCGUCUCCAUCCAUGCUUAUUCUCUGAAGAGUAAAACAGACGCACACACAUUUUUGGACACUAUAAAAGACACCACCACCGCGUCUAAAUGACUCGAGUCACAACGCCUAUCAAGUUAGACACAUCAGUCCGAAACCUUAAAUCGCCUCCCUGAUGAUAAGGUUGAUGCCGAACGACGCCGUGCAUAUGAUCAGUCCGAAUAUUGCUGGGUAGUUGAGACCCCUGCAGAGUUAACCAAAGCAAAAAAGAAAUCGGUAAGAUCAAAACCGUUUCGACGACAAAUGGGAACUGACUGGACAAAAAAGGGAAUGAAAUCCUUCUAGCAGUUGUCAUUUGGUCGUGUUAUUCGGCAUCAUAAGCUGCAAAUUUGGUUCAAGUCAACCAUUUCUCACACUCAAUUCAGAGCUCACGACUUUGCUCCUAGUUACCACGCAUGAAACCGGAGUGGUUGACAUAGGACAGAAGCUUAGGUAGGAUUGCAACAUCACAUACAAUUAUCAUGCCCAUCAAUGGGCAAAAAAUUCUUAUGCUCUUAAGUUAAAUUUAAUUUGGGAUGGUGAUCCACCCUCGUUCUUGUUGCCCGUUGUACAACAUGAUGUAACUCGUUUGAUGAGCAAUAAACUUUGAGGGUUUCAAAAAAAAUUAAAA